RNAcentral lists this ribosomal RNA (253 nucleotides) under uncultured bacterium. Its description in RNAcentral is "partial 16S ribosomal RNA". It matches the Rfam family "Bacterial small subunit ribosomal RNA", at positions 524 to 776 of the family's 1533-position model. The record is from RNAcentral.
UACGGAGGGUGCAAGCGUUGUUCGGAAUUACUGGGCGUAAAGCGCGCGUAGGCGGCGUGCUAAGUCAGAUGUGAAAGUCCACGGCUCAACCGUGGAAGUGCAUUUGAAACUGGCAUGCUUGAGUAUUGGAUGGGGUAGUGGAAUUCCCGGUGUAGAGGUGAAAUUCGUAGAUAUCGGGAGGAAUACCGGUGGCGAAGGCGACUACCUGGCCAAAUACUGACGCUGAUGUGCGAAAGCGUGGGGAGCAAACAGG